UAGGGAAUCUUCGGCAAUGGGGGGAACCCUGACCGAGCAACGCCGCGUGAGUGAAGAAGGUUUUCGGAUCGUAAAGCUCUGUUGUUAAGGAAGAACGAGUGUGAGAAUGGAAAGUUCAUACUGUGACGGUACUUAACCAGAAAGGGACGGCUAACUACGUGCCAGCAGCCGCGGUAAUACGUAGGUCCCGAGCGUUGUCCGGAUUUAUUGGGCGUAAAGCGAGCGCAGGCGGUUAGAUAAGUCUGAAGUUAAAGGCAGUGGCUCAACCAUUGUAGGCUUUGGAAACUGUUUAACUUGAGUGCAGAAGGGGAGAGUGGAAUUCCAUGUGUAGCGGUGAAAUGCGUAGAUAUAUGGAGGAACACCGGUGGCGAAAGCGGCUCUCUGGUCUGUAACUGACGCUGAGGCCCGAAAGCGUGGGGAGCGAACAGGAUUAGAUACCCUGGUAGUCCACGCCGUAACGAUGAGUGCUAGGUGUUAGGUCCUUUCCGGGACUUAGUGCCGCAGCUAACGCAUUAAGCACUCCGCCUGGGGAGUACGACCGCAAGGUUG
RNAcentral lists this ribosomal RNA (549 nucleotides) under uncultured bacterium. Its description in RNAcentral is "bacterial SSU rRNA". It matches the Rfam family "Bacterial small subunit ribosomal RNA", at positions 355 to 896 of the family's 1533-position model. The record is from RNAcentral.